GGCCCAGUAGUUCAGUUGGUUAGAACGCCAGCCUGUCACGCUGGAGGUCGACGGUUCGAGCCCGUUCUGGGUCG
RNAcentral lists this transfer RNA (74 nucleotides) under Sporobacter termitidis DSM 10068. It matches the Rfam family "tRNA". Rfam says of the family: Transfer RNA (tRNA) molecules are approximately 80 nucleotides in length. RNAcentral also lists the same sequence under 2 other names. The record is from Rfam by way of RNAcentral. Lineage: Bacteria; Bacillati; Bacillota; Clostridia; Eubacteriales; Oscillospiraceae.